Molecule: long non-coding RNA, 782 nt
Organism: Musca domestica (house fly)
Lineage: Eukaryota; Metazoa; Arthropoda; Insecta; Diptera; Muscidae
Exons: 2
Source: RefSeq, a predicted model, not a curated record
UAUAAAUAUUUCGAAGAGUUACAAACGGAAUGGCAAAGUUAAUGUACCCUCCAUAGAAUGGUGGAGGGUAUAAAAUAAAUUGGCAAAUAGAGCCAAAGAAGAUAUUCCCGUGAAUCCUAAAUAGAACAAAUCCUGAAUAUAUACUGAUUUUUAAGCAAAUUCAAUUAAUCAAAAUUAUAUUUAAAGAGCAGGCUGAGUUAGAGCAUGCCAAUGUAUUUAAUUCUAAACUUAGGGAGAUAAAACCUGGACUAUAGGCUUAUAAGCAAGUUUUCGCGAUAAUUGGGAAUAAAAACAAGUCAAAGGUGACGGAAAUAUCGUCUGUGUAUCAAAAUUCUCCUCCAAGUAGAAGUUCUUCAUAUGUGAAUGGCACAAUACAUCAAUCUAUUUCUAGUGCACCAGAUAUAAUGCUUGAAUUUUCUAACGAUACUAACGCGUUGAACUGUCAAAAUACCUGCAAUUUCACGUCUUUAAAUUCCAUCGAAGAAAUUGUAAAAUUAAAAAAUAACAAAAAAUUGUCGGUUAUUAAAGAAAACAAGCAAACAAACAAGCUGUGAAUUCGGGGAAGUUCGAACUUUGAAUAAUUUAUAAAAAUUCCGAUGGAAAAUACAUAUCAUAAAUGUACCGAAUAUAGGGAGUAACCUUUAAUUUGGAACCUAUGCGAAGAUGUGGACCUGUAUAUCAAAUUUUUGUCAUAAGCAAUUGCGAUAUUCUGAUAUGAAACUUAAAGCAAUUCCAGUGAAUAAUGUCGCUAUAAUCAUAUAAUAAAAUACGGAAUAUAGGGA